Molecule: non-coding RNA, 72 nt
Organism: Danionella cerebrum
Lineage: Eukaryota; Metazoa; Chordata; Actinopteri; Cypriniformes; Danionidae
Source: the annotation of a GenBank genome assembly
CUUUCUGUGGCUCAGUUGGUUGAGCAUUGCGCUAAUGACUCAAAGGUUGUGGGUUCAAAUCCCAGGGAAAGC